GGUGCCAUAGCUCAGUUGGUAGAGCACAGGACUGAAAAUCCUGGUGUCGCUGGUUCAAUUCCAGCUGGCACCACCC
Molecule: transfer RNA, 76 nt
Filed under: Bacteroidia bacterium
Lineage: Bacteria; Pseudomonadati; Bacteroidota; Bacteroidia
Description: tRNA-Phe
Rfam family: tRNA
About the family: Transfer RNA (tRNA) molecules are approximately 80 nucleotides in length. Their secondary structure includes four short double-helical elements and three loops (D, anti-codon, and T loops). Further hydrogen bonds mediate the characteristic L-shaped molecular structure. tRNAs have two regions of fundamental functional importance: the anti-codon, which is responsible for specific mRNA codon recognition, and the 3' end, to which the tRNAs corresponding amino acid is attached (by aminoacyl-tRNA synthetases). tRNAs cope with the degeneracy of the genetic code in two manners: having more than one tRNA (with a specific anti-codon) for a particular amino acid; and 'wobble' base-pairing, i.e. permitting non-standard base-pairing at the 3rd anti-codon position.
Source: RNAcentral